CCUACGGGGUGCAGCAGUGAGGAAUAUUGGUCAAUGGGCGGGAGCCUGAACCAGCCAAGUCGCGUGAGGGAAGACGGUCCUACGGAUUGUAAACCUCUUUUGCCGGGGAGCAACGGGGUCCUUGCGAGGGCCCAAUGAGAGUACCCGGAGAAAAAGCAUCGGCUAACUCCGUGCAAGCAGCCGCGGUAAUACGGAGGAUGCGAGCGUUAUCCGGAUUUAUUGGGUUUAAAGGGUGCGUAGGCGGGCUGUUAAGUCAGCGGUCAAUUGUCGGGGCUAAACCUCGGACUGCCGUUGAAACUGGCGGCAUAGAGUGGGCGAGAGGGAUGCGGAAUGCGUGGUGUAGCGGUGAAAUGCAUAGAUAUCACGCAGAACUCCGAUUGCGAAGGCAGCAUACCGGCGCCCUACUGACGCUGAGGCACGAAAGCGUGGGUAUCGAACAGGAUUAGAUACCCUAGUAGUC
This 460-nucleotide ribosomal RNA is filed under the name uncultured bacterium. RNAcentral describes it as "partial 16S ribosomal RNA". It matches the Rfam family "Bacterial small subunit ribosomal RNA", at positions 338 to 795 of the family's 1533-position model. The record is from RNAcentral.